UACAGAGGGGGCAAGCGUUGUUCGGAAUUACUGGGCGUAAAGCGCACGCAGGCGGUCUGUCAAGUCGGAUGUGAAAUCCCCGGGCUCAACCUGGGAACUGCAUUCGAAACUGGCAGGCUAGAGUCUUGUAGAGGGGGGUAGAAUUCCAGGUGUAGCGGUGAAAUGCGUAGAGAUCUGGAGGAAUACCGGUGGCGAAGGCGGCCCCCUGGACAAAGACUGACGCUCAGGUGCGAAAGCGUGGGGAGCAAACAGG
RNAcentral lists this ribosomal RNA (253 nucleotides) under uncultured bacterium. RNAcentral's name for it is "partial 16S ribosomal RNA". It matches the Rfam family "Bacterial small subunit ribosomal RNA", at positions 524 to 776 of the family's 1533-position model. The record is from RNAcentral.